Molecule: ribosomal RNA, 402 nt
Filed under: uncultured bacterium
Lineage: Bacteria
Description: partial 16S ribosomal RNA
Rfam family: Bacterial small subunit ribosomal RNA
Source: RNAcentral
GACGAACGCUGGCGGCGUGCCUAAUACAUGCAAGUCGAACGCAGUGGGGACGGGUGAGUAACACGUGGGUAACCUCCCAUCAGAGGGGAUAACACUUGGAAACAGGUGCUAAACCGAUACUGAUGGAUGGACCCGCGGUGCAUUAGCUAGUUGGUGAGGAAACGGCUCACCAAGGCCACGAUGCAUAGCCGACCGAGGGGGUUGUACGGCCACACUGGGACGAGGACACGGCCCAGACUCCGAGGGGAGGCAGCGGGGGGGAAUCUUCGGCAAUGGCCGAAAGUCUGACCUAGCAACGCCGGGUGAGUGAAGAAGGUUUUCGGAUCGUAAAACUCUGUUGUUAGAGAAGCGGUAUCUAACCAGAAAGCCACGGCUAACUACGUGCCAGCAGCCGCGGUAAUU